CAGCCUCCUACGGGAGGCAGCAGCGGGGAAUAUUGGGCAAUGGGCGCAAACCUGACCCAGCAACGCCGCGUGAAGGAAGAAGACUUUCGGGUUGUAAACUUCUUUUGUCAGGGACGAGCAAAUGACGGUACCUGACGAAUAAGCCACGGCUAACUAACGUGCCAGCAGCCGCGGUAAUACGUAGGUGGCAAGCGUUAUCCGGAUUUACUGGGUGUAAAGGGCGUGUAGGCGGGACUCCACCUCAGAUGUGAAAACCACGGGCUCAACCUGUGGCCUGCAUUUGAAACUGUAGUUCUUGAGUACUGGAGAGGCAGACGGAAUUCCUAGUGUAGCGGUGAAAUGCGUAGAUAUUAGGAGGAACACCAGUGGCGAAGGCGGUCUGCUGGACAGCAACUGACGCUGAGGCGCGAAAGCGUGGGGAGCAAACAGGAUUAGAUACCCUGGUAGUCCACGCUGUAAACGAUGGAUACUAGGUGUGGGGGGGUCUGACCCCCUCCGUGCCGCAGUUAACACAAUAAGUAUCCCCCCUGGGGAGUACGAUCGCAAGGUUGUAACUCAAAGGAAUUGACGGGGGCCCGCACAAGCGGUGGAGUAUGUGGUUUAAUUCGAAGCAACGCGAAGAACCUUACCAGGGCUUGACAUCCCGGUGACCGCUCUAGAGAUAGAGUUUUCCUUCGGGACACCGGUGACAGGUGGUGCAUGGUUGUCGUCAGCUCGUGUCGUGAGAUGUUGGGUUAAGUCCCGCAACGAGCGCAACCCCUAUUGUUAGUUGCUACGCAAGAGCACUCUAGCGAGACUGCCGUUGACAAAACGGAGGAAGGUGGGGACGACGUCAAAUCAUCAUGCCCCUUAUGUCCUGGGCUACACACGUACUACAAUGGUGGUCAACAGAGGGAGGCAAAACCGCGAGGUGGAGCAAACCCCUAAAAGCCAUCCCAGUUCGGAUCGCAGGCUGCAACCCGCCUGCGUGAAGUUGGAAUCGCUAGUAAUCGCGGAUCAGCAUGCCGCGGUGAAUACGAUCCCGGGCCUUGCACACACCGCCCGUCA
Molecule: ribosomal RNA, 1047 nt
Filed under: uncultured bacterium
Lineage: Bacteria
Description: bacterial SSU rRNA
Rfam family: Bacterial small subunit ribosomal RNA
Source: RNAcentral